This 349-nucleotide ribosomal RNA is filed under the name uncultured Chloroflexota bacterium. Its description in RNAcentral is "bacterial SSU rRNA". It matches the Rfam family "Bacterial small subunit ribosomal RNA", at positions 1036 to 1401 of the family's 1533-position model. Lineage: Bacteria; Bacillati; Chloroflexota. The record is from RNAcentral.
AGAUGUUGCAUGGCUGUCGUCAGCUCGUGCCGUGAGGUGUUGGGUUAAGUCCCGCAACGAGCGCAACCCUUGUCGUUAGUUAGAAUGUCUAGCGAGACUGCCCCUAAACAGGGGAGGAAGGUGGGGAUGACGCCAAGUCAUCAUGGCUCUUACGUCCUGGGCUACACACACGCUACAAUGGUCGGCACAGAGGGUUGCGAAGGCGCGAGCCGGAGCUAAUCCCACAAAGCCGUCCCCAGUUGGAAUUGCAGGCUGAAACCCGCCUGCAUGAACGCGGAGUUGCUAGUAACCGCAGGUCAGCACACUGCGGUGAAUACGUUCUCGGGUCUUGUACACACCGCCCGUCACA